GUUAUAUGGUCAAGUGAAGAAGCGCAUACGGUGGAUGCCUUGGCAGUCAGAGGCGAUGAAAGACGUGGUAGCCUGCGAAAAGCUUCGGGGAGUCGGCAAACAGACUGUGAUCCGGAGAUAUCUGAAUGGGGGAACCCAGCCAUCAUAAGAUGGUUAUCUUGUACUGAAUACAUAGGUGCAAGAGGCGAACCAGGGGAACUGAAACAUCUAAGUACCCUGAGGAAAAGAAAUCAACCGAGAUUCCCUUAGUAGUGGCGAGCGAACGGGGACCAGCCCUUAAGUUGUAUUGAGAUUAGCGGAACGUUCUGGAAAGGACGGCCAUAGUGGGUGAUAGCCCUGUACGCGAAAAUCCCUUUGCAAUGAAAUCGAGUAGGACGGGGCACGAGAAACCUUGUCUGAAUAUGGGGGGACCAUCCUCCAAGGCUAAAUACUACUGACUGACCGAUAGUGAACCAGUACCGUGAGGGAAAGGCGAAAAGAACCGCGGAGAGCGGAGUGAAAUAGAUCCUGAAACCGUAUGCGUACAAGCAGUGGGAGCCCACUUUGUUGGGUGACUGCGUACCUUUUGUAUAAUGGGUCAGCGACUUAUUUUCAGUGGCGAGCUUAACCGAAUAGGGGAGGCGUAGCGAAAGCGAGUCUUAAUAGGGCGUCUAGUCGCUGGGAAUAGACCCGAAACCGGGCGAUCUAUCCAUGGGCAGGUUGAAGGUUGGGUAACACUAACUGGAGGACCGAACCGACUACCGUUGAAAAGUUAGCGGAUGACCUGUGGAUCGGAGUGAAAGGCUAAUCAAGCUCGGAGAUAGCUGGUUCUCCUCGAAAGCUAUUUAGGUAGCGCCUCAUGUAUCACUGUAGGGGGUAGAGCACUGUUUCGGCUAGGGGGUCAUCCCGACUUACCAAACCGAUGCAAACUCCGAAUACCUACAAGUGCCGAGCAUGGGAGACACACGGCGGGUGCUAACGUCCGUCGUGAAAAGGGAAACAACCCAGACCGUCAGCUAAGGUCCCAAAGUCAUGGUUAAGUGGGAAACGAUGUGGGAAGGCUUAGACAGCUAGGAGGUUGGCUUAGAAGCAGCCACCCUUUAAAGAAAGCGUAAUAGCUCACUAGUCGAGUCGGCCUGCGCGGAAGAUGUAACGGGGCUCAAACCAUGCACCGAAGCUACGGGUAUCAUCUUUUGAUGAUGCGGUAGAGGAGCGUUCUGUAAGCCUGUGAAGGUGAGUUGAGAAGCUUGCUGGAGGUAUCAGAAGUGCGAAUGCUGACAUGAGUAACGACAAUGGGUGUGAAAAACACCCACGCCGAAAGACCAAGGUUUCCUGCGCAACGUUAAUCGACGCAGGGUUAGUCGGUCCCUAAGGCGAGGCUGAAAAGCGUAGUCGAUGGAAAACAGGUUAAUAUUCCUGUACUUCUGGUUAUUGCGAUGGAGGGACGGAGAAGGCUAGGCCAGCCUGGCGUUGGUUGUCCAGGUUUAAGGUGGUAGGCUGAGAUCUUAGGUAAAUCCGGGAUCUCAAGGCCGAGAGCUGAUGACGAGUGUUCUUUAGAACACGAAGUGGUUGAUGCCAUGCUUCCAAGAAAAGCUUCUAAGCUUCAGGUAACCAGGAACCGUACCCCAAACCGACACAGGUGGUUGGGUAGAGAAUACCAAGGCGCUUGAGAGAACUCGGGUGAAGGAACUAGGCAAAAUGGCACCGUAACUUCGGGAGAAGGUGCGCCGGUGAGGGUGAAGCAUUUACUGCGUAAGCCCAUGCCGGUCGAAGAUACCAGGCCGCUGCGACUGUUUAUUAAAAACACAGCACUCUGCAAACACGAAAGUGGACGUAUAGGGUGUGACGCCUGCCCGGUGCCGGAAGGUUAAUUGAUGGGGUUAGCGCAAGCGAAGCUCUUGAUCGAAGCCCCGGUAAACGGCGGCCGUAACUAUAACGGUCCUAAGGUAGCGAAAUUCCUUGUCGGGUAAGUUCCGACCUGCACGAAUGGCGUAACGAUGGCGGCGCUGUCUCCACCCGAGACUCAGUGAAAUUGAAAUCGCUGUGAAGAUGCAGUGUAUCCGCGGCUAGACGGAAAGACCCCGUGAACCUUUACUAUAGCUUUGCACUGGACUUUGAAUUUGCUUGUGUAGGAUAGGUGGGAGGCUUUGAAGCGUGGACGCCAGUCUGCGUGGAGCCAACCUUGAAAUACCACCCUGGCAACUUUGAGGUUCUAACUCAGGUCCGUUAUCCGGAUCGAGGACAGUGUAUGGUGGGUAGUUUGACUGGGGCGGUCUCCUCCUAAAGAGUAACGGAGGAGUACGAAGGUGCGCUCAGACCGGUCGGAAAUCGGUCGUAGAGUAUAAAGGCAAAAGCGCGCUUGACUGCGAGACAGACACGUCGAGCAGGUACGAAAGUAGGUCUUAGUGAUCCGGUGGUUCUGUAUGGAAGGGCCAUCGCUCAACGGAUAAAAGGUACUCCGGGGAUAACAGGCUGAUACCGCCCAAGAGUUCAUAUCGACGGCGGUGUUUGGCACCUCGAUGUCGGCUCAUCACAUCCUGGGGCUGAAGCCGGUCCCAAGGGUAUGGCUGUUCGCCAUUUAAAGUGGUACGCGAGCUGGGUUUAGAACGUCGUGAGACAGUUCGGUCCCUAUCUGCCGUGGACGUUUGAGAUUUGAGAGGGGCUGCUCCUAGUACGAGAGGACCGGAGUGGACGAACCUCUGGUGUUCCGGUUGUCACGCCAGUGGCAUUGCCGGGUAGCUAUGUUCGGAAAAGAUAACCGCUGAAAGCAUCUAAGCGGGAAACUUGCCUCAAGAUGAGAUCUCACUGGAACCUUGAGUUCCCUAAAGGGCCGUCGAAGACUACGACGUUGAUAGGUUGGGUGUGUAAGCGCUGUGAGGCGUUGAGCUAACCAAUACUAAUUGCCCGUGAGGCUUGACCAUAUAACACCCAAGCAAUU
This 2917-nucleotide ribosomal RNA is filed under the name Pseudomonas syringae. RNAcentral's name for it is "bacterial LSU rRNA". It matches the Rfam family "Bacterial large subunit ribosomal RNA". Lineage: Bacteria; Pseudomonadati; Pseudomonadota; Gammaproteobacteria; Pseudomonadales; Pseudomonadaceae. The record is from RNAcentral.